GCAAACUUGGUCAUUUAGAGGAAGUAAAAGUCGUAACAAGGUCUCCGUUGGUGAACCAGCGGAGGGAUCAUUAAAGAGUUGAAAAACUCACCCAAAACCACCGUGAACAUACCUUAUAACGUUGCCUCGGCAGGCGGCCCCAGGGCGGGGCCGUGGCCUGGAAUAAUGGUGCCUGCCGGGGGUUUUUAAAACUUCUGUUAUUUCUAGUCAGCUUCUGAGUCGGGAAAAACAAACCCAGUCAAAACUUUCAACAACGGAUCUCUUGGCUCUGGCAUCGAUGAAGAACGCAGC
This 291-nucleotide unclassified non-coding RNA is filed under the name uncultured fungus. RNAcentral describes it as "partial contains small subunit ribosomal RNA, internal transcribed spacer 1, and 5.8S ribosomal RNA". The stretch from base 1 to 73 matches the Rfam family "Eukaryotic small subunit ribosomal RNA", at positions 1759 to 1831 of the family's 1831-position model. Lineage: Eukaryota; Fungi. The record is from RNAcentral.